This 521-nucleotide ribosomal RNA is filed under the name uncultured bacterium. RNAcentral describes it as "bacterial SSU rRNA". It matches the Rfam family "Bacterial small subunit ribosomal RNA", at positions 994 to 1518 of the family's 1533-position model. The record is from RNAcentral.
AACGAAGUAGAGAUACAUUAGGUGCCCUUCGGGGAGAGUCGAGACAGGUGGUGCAUGGUUGUCGUCAGCUCGUGUCGUGAGAUGUUGGGUUAAGUCCCGCAACGAGCGCAACCCUUAUUGUUAGUUGCUACGCAAGAGCACUCUAGCAAGACUGCCGUUGACAAAACGGAGGAAGGUGGGGAUGACGUCAAAUCAUCAUGCCCUUUAUGACCUGGGCUACACACGUACUACAAUGGCGGCGAACAGAGGGGAGCAAAGAGGUGACUCAGAGCAAAUCCCAAAAAGCCGUCUCAGUUCAGAUUGCAGGCUGCAACUCGCCUGCAUGAAGACGGAAUUGCUAGUAAUCGCGAAUCAGCAUGUCGCGGUGAAUACGUUCCCGGGCCUUGUACACACCGCCCGUCAAACCAUGAGAGUUGGGAAUACCCGAAGUCUGUAAUCUAACCGCAAGGAGGAUGCAGCCGAAGGUAGGCUCAAUGAUUGGGGUUAAGUCGUAACAAGGUAGCCGUAUCGGAAGGUGCGGU